Molecule: non-coding RNA, 1375 nt
Organism: Salvia hispanica
Lineage: Eukaryota; Viridiplantae; Streptophyta; Magnoliopsida; Lamiales; Lamiaceae
Source: RefSeq, a predicted model, not a curated record
ACUUCUUUUGAAAUCAAGCCUAAUGGAUAGAUCUUACCAUCUCCACCUCCUUAUAACAUCACUCUUUCUACUUCAAUGGUUAAUUGAUUAUAGCUCAGCCAACUCAGAUUUCAACACUGAUCGUUCUUCACUUACUGCCUUCAAAUCUCAAAUCUCUUUCGAUCCCCAUAACAUAUUGACCAAAAAUUGGAGCCGAGAGAGCAGUAUUUGUAGUUGGAUGGGAGUUACUUGUGAUUCUCGCUAUCACAGAGUCACUCAGUUGAACAUAUCGUCCAUGGGUAUUGUAGGAACCAUUCCACCAGAAAUCGGAAAUAUUUCUUUUCUCGUUUCUUUAGAUAUGAGCGAAAACUCUUUUCAUGGUCCUAUCCCCACAUCUAUUUUUAACAUGCCAAUUUUAGAAGUCUUGAAUUUGAGGAAUAAUAGUUUGUCUAGUGGUCUGCCUCUUGAUGUGUGCAAACAUAAUUUUCGUAGGCUUAAGAGACUUCGUAUUUCUUACAAUAAGUUGUAUGGGGAAAUACCAUCGAGUUUGGGGCAGUGUUCAAAGCUUGAGUAUAUUUCUUGUACAACAAAAGUUUUAGAGGAAACGUGCCAACCGAAAUUGGAAACUUGACAUUGGUUCAAGAACAAUUCUUGGGUGCUAACAAUUUAAGUGGUAAGGUAACAUUCCAAGGGAAAUUGGGAAUUUAACAAUGCUUCAAUUGUUGGACCUUGGUGACAAUAAAUUCAGUGGUGAGAUCUUAUCUCAAGCUCUCUUAUAUUUUGGCUUGUUUUGCAUUGAAAUUAUCUUUUUAAUGUCAUUUCAAUAAUUAUUUUCGGAGGUAUUAUUCAUUUUGUUUCUUUGCAGGUUUUAUAGUUAUGCAUCUCUUUAACAGAGGUUCUAUUAUAAAUAGGAGAGAUAAAUCAUUAUGAGACGAAUCUAUGCCAUCAUGAUACGAUUAUAUCUUCGAAAUUAUCUUUCAUAUUUGCAUUAUAAAUAGGACCUAUUGUUAGGUUUGUGUUAAAAUGACAACCCCUCUUAAAAUGACACCGUGACACCGCUUAUACAGCAAUAUUAUAAACGCUACACAGCAAUAUUACAAACACUACACAACAAUCUAUAGAUUGUUGUAUAGUGUGUCGGGUAUUGCUGGACAAGACAUCGUCUUUUUCCGAAUUUUUUUUUUUUGCCACGUGGCAGCUUAUUAUUCGUCCACGUGUACAAAUGAUUGGCUAGGAAUGGUGGUAUGGUGUUAUUUUAAGGGGAAGUGGCACCCUAACAUGCCCCCCUAUUGUUAUUCUCAUUGUUCAAUCAAUGAAAUCGUAAUUAUUGUCUUUUAUCUUUAUUUAUUUUUUUUUGUUUAGAAAUUCCGAUUGUCGACAGAGCAAGGUUUCUCUA